UCAAAGAAGUGAGAUUUUAACUCCCACCCCUAACUCCCAAAGCUAGGAUUCUAAACUAAACUAUUCUUUG
This 70-nucleotide transfer RNA is filed under the name Hexagrammos agrammus (spotbelly greenling). RNAcentral's name for it is "tRNA-Pro". Lineage: Eukaryota; Metazoa; Chordata; Actinopteri; Perciformes; Hexagrammidae. The record is from RNAcentral.